Molecule: ribosomal RNA, 448 nt
Filed under: uncultured bacterium
Lineage: Bacteria
Description: bacterial SSU rRNA
Rfam family: Bacterial small subunit ribosomal RNA
Source: RNAcentral
CAGGGUAGCAAUACCGCUGACGACCGGCGCACGGGUGAGUAACACGUAUCCAACCUUCCCAUAGCUCAGGGAUAGCCUUUCGAAAGAAAGAUUAAUACCUGAUAGUACUUUUUCAAGGCAUCUUGAGAAAGUUAAAGAUUUAUUGGUUAUGGAUGGGGAUGCGUUCCAUUAGAUAGUUGGUGAGGUAACGGCUCACCAAGUCUUCGAUGGAUAGGGGUUCUGAGAGGAAGGUCCCCCACAUUGGUACUGAGACACGGACCAAACUCCUACGGGAGGCAGCAGUGAGGAAUAUUGGUCAAUGGGCGAGAGCCUGAACCAGCCAAGUAGCGUGAAGGAUGAAGGUCCUAUGGAUUGUAAACUUCUUUUAUAGUAGAAUAAAGUGAUCCACGUGUGGAUUUUUGUAUGUAUACUAUGAAUAAGGAUCGGCUAACUCCGUGCCAGCCGCUGC